CUAAGAUUGAAAAUAACAAGCUUGUAUCAUGAUAACCUCAUUUCUGACUGCAUGUUUGUCAUCAUUUUCAUUUCUAGCCAUGGGCAAAUCGGACUGCACAGGAUGAUUUCUGCACAGGAACUAGUGAACUCCACAGGCCCAGAACACACCAGCCUCACAACUCCUCACAACUCCCCAGCCUUAAUGUGUGUAGGCAGGACAAGGAGAACACCGAUUCAAUCCAGAAGAAGAGGAAAAAGAAGAGGCUAAAUGAGAAGGGAACCCAGGUUGAACUAGGCAUGCGGGAGGAUAUCCAUGACCUUGACCUCGCCCAUUGGAGAUUGGCUAGAGAGACAUGGAGAACUGAGCGAGGAAACAUGAGGGAGAUUAAGGCGCUGUAUGGAGAAAUAUUUAGGCUGCACCAACUCUUGGAGGAGAUUGGGGUGGAUAAAGGGGUGAUCAAGCAGCGCUCCACCUCCUCCAUUAUUUGUCCCGUCUCCCCGACACUGCCAGCUUUCCCCUGGUACAACCACCA
Molecule: non-coding RNA, 514 nt
Organism: Oncorhynchus mykiss (rainbow trout)
Lineage: Eukaryota; Metazoa; Chordata; Actinopteri; Salmoniformes; Salmonidae
Source: RefSeq, a predicted model, not a curated record